GUAGGUGGCAAGCGUUAUCCGGAAUUAUUGGGCGUAAAGCGCGCGCAGGCGGUUUCUUAAGUCUGAUGUGAAAGCCCACGGGCUCAACCGUGGAGGGUCAUUGGAAACUGGGGAACUUGAGUGCAGAAGAGAAAAGCGGAAUUCCGCGUGUAGCGGUGAAAUGCGUAGAGAUGUGGAGGAACACCAGUGGCGAAGGCGGCUUUUUGGUCUGUAACUGACGCUGAGGCGCGAAAGCGUGGGGAGCAAACAGGAUUAGAUACCCUGGUAGUCCACGCCGUAAACGAUGAGUGCUAAGUGUUAGAGGGUUUCCGCCCUUUAGUGCUGCAGCUAACGCAUUAAGCACUCCGCCUGGGGAGUACGGUCGCAAGACUG
RNAcentral lists this ribosomal RNA (372 nucleotides) under uncultured organism. RNAcentral's name for it is "partial 16S ribosomal RNA". It matches the Rfam family "Bacterial small subunit ribosomal RNA", at positions 527 to 896 of the family's 1533-position model. The record is from RNAcentral.